GCCCCUUUAGCUCAGUGGUAGAGCGUUGCACUUGUAAGUGCCCUAGUCUAUGGCAACUCAUCAAUGCAAAGGUCAUUCGUUCAAUCCGGGUAGGGGGCA
This is a non-coding RNA of Tephrocybe sp. NHM501043, 99 nucleotides long. NCBI's taxonomy places the organism in Eukaryota, Fungi, Basidiomycota, Agaricomycetes, Agaricales, Lyophyllaceae. The record is from the annotation of a GenBank genome assembly.